This 458-nucleotide ribosomal RNA is filed under the name uncultured bacterium. RNAcentral describes it as "SSU rRNA". It matches the Rfam family "Bacterial small subunit ribosomal RNA", at positions 26 to 518 of the family's 1533-position model. The record is from RNAcentral.
AGAAUCAACGCUGGCGGCGUGCCUAACACAUGCAGGUCGCACGAGAAAGGGGAGCAAUCCCUGAGUACAGUGGCGCACGGGUGAGUAACACGUGAAUAAUCUACCUCCGAGUGGGGAAUAACUGAGAGAAAUCUUAGCUAAUACCGCAUAAUACCCACGGGUCAAAGCAGCAAUGCGCUUGGAGAGGAGUUCGCGGCAGAUUAGUUAGUUGGCGGGGUAAUGGCCCACCAAGACGAUGAUCUGUAUCCGGCCUGAGAGGGCGCACGGACACACUGGAACUGAAACACGGUCCAGACUCCUACGGGAGGCAGCAGUGGGGAAUUUUGCGCAAUGGGGGAAACCCUGACGCAGCAACGCCGCGUGGAGGAUGAAGCCCCUUGGGUGUAAACUCCUUUCGAUCGGGAAGAUAAUGACGGUACCGAUAUAAGAAGCCCGGCUAACUUCGUGCCAGCAGCCGC